RNAcentral lists this ribosomal RNA (241 nucleotides) under uncultured Actinomycetales bacterium. RNAcentral's name for it is "partial 16S ribosomal RNA". It matches the Rfam family "Bacterial small subunit ribosomal RNA", at positions 89 to 334 of the family's 1533-position model. The record is from RNAcentral. Lineage: Bacteria; Bacillati; Actinomycetota; Actinomycetes; Actinomycetales.
ACUCGAGUGGCGAACGGGUGAGUAACACGUGGGUGAUCUGCCCUGCACUUCGGGAUAAGCUUGGGAAACUGGGUCUAAUGCCGGAUAGGAGCCAUCUUUAGUGUGGUGGUUGGAAAGUUUUUCGGUGUAGGAUGAGCUCGCGGCCUAUCAGCUUGUUGGUGGGGUAGUGGCUUACCAAGGCUUUGACGGGUAGCCGGCCUGGGAGGGUGACCGGCCACAUUGGGACUGAGAUACGGCCCAG